GAGAGAAGGAAGUGAGAUUGGGAGGAAUAUACAUAAUAUGCAACAUCAAACCUGAGUUGAAAUGGAUUGAUUUGCAUUUGAUUUCCCUACCGGAGAAAAUAGGAUAGACUGGUGCAACAAUGUUCAUUCAGGUUUUCUACCAAGUUUGCUCUUCCUUCCAACUCGUGGCAAGCUUCCCUGUCCAUCCUGAAGAAAAGCAUCCACACGCCACAGUGCUGUCAUAUUUUACUGUGGAUGAUGAAAACUACAAAGUGGAAGUCCCAUGGCCUGGUUUCAGCAGUGGCUUUCUUCUUCCUAAUCUUCCAUAAAGGCCAUAUUUCUAAAAGGCGCUACAAAUGGCAAUCAGCAAAUUCUCCCAGAGUUGUGGAUCUCUGCAGCUCCUCCUGAGUUACCACGGCUCCUUCUCUUUUUAAUCCUCUUUGAGUAACCAUGGCAUAAUAUUGAAGCUGUGCCAGAUGCAGGUGAAUUGUAUGCCACACUUUUCAGAUUUUAUUGUUAAAGUGAAAACCACGUACCAUUUUGUUAACACCAUAUGCACAACUUUUUGGGGGCGUCUCCCAAAAAUACAAAGAAAUUAUAUUGAACAUUGUGACGAAAUGAGAGAUUCAUAGUAGGAUAAAUACUUUUACUAUCAAAUGUACAAAAACAUUCUCACAAUCUAACUUAUUAUUUGAUUGCUUAAGAUCAGCUGACAGCCUCCCACUCUGAUUUAAACACACACUGAUGUUAUUG
Molecule: long non-coding RNA, 732 nt
Organism: Xiphophorus hellerii (green swordtail)
Lineage: Eukaryota; Metazoa; Chordata; Actinopteri; Cyprinodontiformes; Poeciliidae
Exons: 3
Source: RefSeq, a predicted model, not a curated record